This 243-nucleotide small RNA is filed under the name Pseudomonas lurida. Its description in RNAcentral is "Pseudomonas sRNA P17". The stretch from base 1 to 211 matches the Rfam family "Pseudomonas sRNA P17". The record is from RNAcentral. Lineage: Bacteria; Pseudomonadati; Pseudomonadota; Gammaproteobacteria; Pseudomonadales; Pseudomonadaceae.
GUAAAGAACAAGUGGCACGUUCCAGUGACUAUCUCGAUGGGCAACUGACCUUUCGCGAGCGUCUGCUGGUGCGUCAUCACUUGAUGUUUUGCCCGAACUGCCGGCGCUUUAUCCGUCAGAUGCGCCUCAUGCAGGCAACCCUGAAGAUCAUGCCGGACGAGCCGGUAGAGGGUGUGGAUGCCCUGGCGCAGCGGCUGGCUGCCGAGCGGCUCAAGGAUCACAAAGACGGGGAAUAACCAGGCU